This is a long non-coding RNA of Oxyura jamaicensis (ruddy duck), 552 nucleotides long. RefSeq lists it as uncharacterized. The transcript is spliced from 4 exons. NCBI's taxonomy places the organism in Eukaryota, Metazoa, Chordata, Aves, Anseriformes, Anatidae. The record is from RefSeq and is a predicted model, not a curated record.
AAACGGGAAAACAUUCCAGAAUCUGGAAAAGCCGAGCCGGUAAAAACCCUGGUGCAGCUCAACCCCUCUGGAAACAGCGCUUCGUCUUGUGGCUGUAAGCGCCACGUGCCAGCAAGAAGGGAGACGUUGGAAGCAGCCUUCUGUUUGACAGCUGCGUCUCCAAAACCUGUCUUAAAAUUGAAGAGAGGGGAAAGAAGAUAACUGUAUGAAAUGAAGUCAAUGUGAAAACAUCUUUCCCAGAGGAGUGGCAGGAGACCCAAGCUUUGCAGUCCCUUUUCCUGUUGACUUGAAGUCUCCUGGCAGGCUAAAGAAUUAGUGGGAAAUGCAGAAGGUAGGCUCUUUUAUUGCAUUAUCCCUUCUUGUUAAACUGGAGAUUUUGAAAACUAAAAUCAAGCUCCAUUGUAAUCUGAAAUCUGGCAGAAUAAGAGAUCCAAAUAAAGAAGUCCCAAAUGAAGCAGAACUCUGCAUGAACUGGAGAAAAAUGUCUUCCUCGUGUUCUGGAGGACGCCUGCUGCAAGUAUGCUGCCCUUCAUCUUCCUGUAUCAAAUCUUG